RNAcentral lists this long non-coding RNA (618 nucleotides) under Marmota monax (woodchuck). The record is from RNAcentral. Lineage: Eukaryota; Metazoa; Chordata; Mammalia; Rodentia; Sciuridae.
AAAGCACUCUUUGAAUUAGAACUGAAACAGAAAAGACUACCAGUACAUCGAAAUGAUUAAAGAAGUGUGAUAAUGGAUUUCCUGGAGCUCAAAAGUGUAUGUGCUUGGUUUGACAAUUUUAGCUAAGAUUGAGGUAGAAAAAGAUAUAAUUCUGGAGGCCAAUGUUCAUUCUCUGCUUUUUCUCACCAAACAAGAAAACCCAUGGUUUUGCUCUGGUAUUCCCAAGCAGGAAAAAGCAAAACAAAAUUAUACCUGGUAAAGGGGUUAGUGAGACACUUCUCAAUUGUUUUCUAGAAUGGAAAGGUUUCAGUUAUAAAAUCCAUAAUUGUUUUCAAGAGUGCAGUUUGAUGUAUAAGAUUUCAGACUUCUUAAAUAGGUACCUUAUAAUUCUUUAAUUUUUCUUCCAUUUUUGAGUCAAGACAGUGUGAUGAUUUUUACAACAAAGUAGAUCUGGUGUUGUAGGUAUUUUCCAUAUGUUAAUUCUCUGAUAAGAUGGCAAAUAUGUCAAUUAAUACUGCUUAUUGGAAUGAAUCACAUGAUAAUAAAACUCUAAUUACUAUUUAUAUUGAUUGUAUUUACUAAUGUAAUGUUUUGUCAAUAUGUCACCCCCAAAUCCAC